GUGUUGUUAGCUUGCUGCGUUAGGCUAGCUGGCCUUCUACAUAGGCCAUUAUAACUAAACACCGCUCUCAUUGCUUGUUUUACUUAAACUGUUAAACAUUGUCUUCGGAUUAGUUCUACAUAGAAAGAUGAACGGAGAAACUACCUGUUCCCAUAGUGUUGCUACCGAGCUAGUAAUAUUCAGUUGCUUGACAGAGUUUAUAUUCGAAUUACUUCAUAUGGCUGGCUACUUCUUGCUUCGAUCCAUCUGCAUUGUGUUGUUUGUUUGCUCUUUCUGAGGUCAAUCGUGUUAGCCGUGCUGACAUAGUUGUACCCAUACAAUUUGAGUGCACUAUUUGUGCUGUAAACCGCAGCAGAAUUUCCUUCAGUGCUGAACCACCUUCGGCUAACAAUAUUACUGUCCCCUUUUUUCUGGUGAUGCUUGAACUAUUGCUGUAUUACCUGGCCAUUUCAGAAUUCGCUUGAUUCAAUGGGCAGUUGCUUGUGCUUGGAUUUUGCGUGACCAGUCCACGUCGUAUUUCUUCGUCGAUCGAGUUAUCAUACUUUGUCUUUCUAGAGACUGCAAGAAAUCAAAUGAAAACUCAGAGAAAAUGAAAACACGUCAAGCUGAAAAUGCACUCUUCUCCGUGUCUAAGAGCAGGUAUAAUAGUACUAGUCAGUAGGCUAUAAAAAUUUACACGUCAUCUUAUUCGUGGAGGGGAGAGAAAGGCAAAGAGAGAACUGAGCGGGCGCUAGAUUUGGCGCCGGGCGACUUGAUGGUGAUUAAAAAACUGUUUUGCCGGUCCAAUGACGACCUAAUCGAUCCCAUGUGCAUUGUCCUCCCGCCCCUUCUCCGUCCUCCGUUGUUUCAUCGACCAGCGCUUGCCGCGGGCGAAAUCCACCGGGCAAUCUCCCCGUCAACGAGCAGAAAACACCACCAUCCAUACGGAUCAAAGCCUAUCGGGUGUACCCAUAAUCUCUCAUUUCUCUUCUGUAGCCCACAAAAUCCUUCGUCCUCAUGCCGCCGCCGCCGCAUGCUAAAUGACUAGAUCGAUGGCCGCCUACCUCACAAGGCAAGAAUCACCUGUUCUUCUUCUAGUUGUUUCAAUCUUCUGCGCCGCCGGCCAUCCUCAUGCAGGACAAGUAUGACGAACGACGCAGUUGCCACUAACAACUAGCACUGGGAUCUUGUGUCCUCAUCGAGGUAGCGGUGACCGUGCUUGUCUUGUGCUGAUACAUAAGCUAAGGUGAUGUUUAGACUGAGAAAAAUUUUGGAGAAGUUUCACGUCAAAUGUUUAACCGGAUAUCGGAAGGGGUUUUCGGACACGAAUGAAAAACGAAUUUCAAGGUUAGCCUGGAAGCCGCGAGACGAAUCUUUUGAGCCUAAUUAAUCUGUCAUUAGCACAUGUUGGUUACUGUAGCACUUAUGGCUAAUCAUGGACUAAUUAGGCUCAAAAGAUUCGUCUUAAGAUUUCUUCCAUUACUGGGCAAUUAUUUUUUGGUUAUCUAUAUUUAAUGCUUUAUUUAGGUGUCCAAAAAUUCGAUGUGAUGUUUUUGGAAAAAAAAUUUGGGAACUAAACAAGGCCUAAUCACUGAUGAAAGCUGGGUGGGAUGGAAGGAUCAAUUGAGGCAUGGAGCUGACCCACAGCAAGCUUGCUCCGCCAUGAAUCAACACCGUUACACCAGAUAGCUCAUUUGCAUUUUUUUCGUUUGUUUUUCCCUUACUUUUUUUUUGCUUCCAUGUGAAUUGGUGAUGGAUAAAAGGAUAAAUUAUCAAUCUUUGUCCUCUAGUUGUUAUCUGUGUUGUUGAUUUUAAUCUUAGGGUAUGGUGGUUGUUGUGAUUAAGCCUGUGAAGAAGAAAAGAGGGGAAAAUUGGAAGAAGAAAUAUGAGUUAGCAACCGAUUUUGUAUGUCACGCUCACACCACAGUAUGGCCACAGAGAUAGAGUUCACUCUUAAUCGUACAUGUCUAUAUGUAGAUGUAAAAUUAAUUUUUUGGCUGAGAAAAUGGAGUCUGCAUAGUAGUCACUCUAUUGUAUUGGUUGGCUUCAAUACUAACUGCAAAAUGAUAUGGCAAUGAGUAUAGCCAACAGAUGACUAUACUAUUGACCUUGCUCUAAAUCACGGUUUGUUGUCUACUAUUUUCCAUGCAUUGCUAGAUUUGAGCUUGGUUAUUCUAAGUGUUAAAGGAAUAUUACUCCAUCUGUUUUUUUAUUUGGCGUCAUCGACUUCCGAGUCUAUGUCUAACAUUUGUUUUAUUCCAAAAACUAGCUGGGCAGCCCACACUCAUUUAUGUGGCUAGAUUUUCUUUAUUUAAAGUAUCAGAUGGUAUAACUUAUACACAUAUAACAGUGGAUAUUUUUUUUGAAUUUUUGAUUUAACUGAAUAAUGAUCGAGUACAACGGACUGUUGAAAUGUCCCAUAGACGUGAAUACUCCAUCCUAUAUGGAUUCUGAUGCCCUCCAGCCUUUAUUCUGUCUAAGAUUAUCUUGUGGAACAAUAGAUAUUUUGAAAAAAGAUCUUCGUCCUAUAUAUAUAAAUUUUUAUUUCUUGAAACUUCAAUAAUAACCCUGUGAAAUUUAUUUGGAACGAGCAAAGACGACUGGGCCCUAUAUAUAUGGGAGGGGCCGAGGGGGUGAGCACUUUGGAACGAGUAAAGAUGACUGAGCCCUAUAUAUAUGGGAGGGGGUGAGCACUCUGCACUUUCAUACUACGCAAGCACUGGAAAUAUAAAUGUGCAAGCUACAAUUGAUGGCUCGAGUUUAAUUUAGCAAACCAUUUAUUUAAAAACCAUUUUCUCAAAACACUAAGUGAGCAUUUUAAAAUAAACUCCUGAUUGAAGGAAGCAUAUCACCUCGAUCCGUCUAUGAGUUGCUUUACAACAACACUAGUAGAUAAAUCAUAGGUUUAAUUAUUUAUAAACAACAUUUCCUUCAUUAAUUUAUUCUCACUUUUCAAAACAUAAACCAAUAUUUUUCCUCAAAACAAAAUGUUAGCCAACUUUCAUGGUUAACUAGUCUUCUCGGCUAUGGAUCCGACCCUCUCAAUUUGGCAUCCCAAAACUCGGCCCACAACAGGCCAUUACGGUCACUAAAUUGGCCAUCAUGGCCCUCUUGGUGUCGAACGACUCCCCAUGUCACAAAUACUCGUUCCCAACCACGAAGGCUGGACGUCCAUCACAAAGAAGAACUUUGGAAACAAUGGCGGAACCAGGAUCUCAACACGUGUAGGGCUCAAAGUAGAGGCAAGAACCAUCCAUAAAAAUUCAUUCAACUAAGGACAGUGACAGUAAAAAUAAUACAACGGAACUUGACCAUAUUGAAUAUUUCUUUGCUGAAAUAUGGAAAUAAGUUACCAAUUGGCCGCUACGACCCCUUGAACGACCACUCUUAGUUAUCUCAUGACAUUAGCCACAUUUUGCAUUUUUCCAAUAUCUGACUUUCCCCCAUGUAGCAUUCAAAACCAUAAUUUUCAGCUCGAGAUUGCUUAAAAGCAAUAAAAACAGAAAGCUGCAUUCUUAGCAACACUAUACUCCAACCAAUUAUGCUUUUUGAACCAUGAUUUCUGAAAACUCCUAUUGGCACCUCCUAUUUUCUUUUGUGGAUAGUUAUGAUCAACUUGUUGACAUGGACCCAUUAAUAAAUACUCCCUUCUAGCAGCAUCCCUAAUGUUUGCAUCCAAUUGUUCAGUUGUUCAGUUGGUGUGCGAAGGCCAGGAUCAGCACCAUUUGGAUUAAGCAGUAUGUUAUCUUGCUCCUCUUCAUAUACUAAAUCAAAACAAUUUUCUAGUUGACCAAUUGAUAAGAACUAUGAAAGGAGAGGGGUAAAAAUUGAGAAUAGAAAAAAAAUACUUUUUGCUGGCCUGAUGUUUUGCGGCCAAGCACUGCGNNN
Molecule: long non-coding RNA, 3867 nt
Filed under: Oryza brachyantha (malo sina)
Lineage: Eukaryota; Viridiplantae; Streptophyta; Magnoliopsida; Poales; Poaceae
Description: long non-coding RNA (OBRA_LNC003129)
Source: RNAcentral